UACGUAGGUGGCAAGCGUUGUCCGGAAUUACUGGGUGUAAAGGGCGUGCAGCCGGAUCGGCAAGUCAGGCGUGAAAUGCAUGGGCUCAACCCAUGAGCUGCGUUUGAAACUGUAGGUCUUGAGUACCGGAGGGGCAAUCGGAAUUCCUAGUGUAGCGGUGAAAUGCGUAGAUAUUAGGAGGAACACCAGUGGCGAAGGCGGAUUGCUGGACGGCAACUGACGGUGAGGCGCGAAAGUGUGGGGAG
RNAcentral lists this ribosomal RNA (245 nucleotides) under uncultured Oscillospiraceae bacterium. RNAcentral describes it as "partial 16S ribosomal RNA". It matches the Rfam family "Bacterial small subunit ribosomal RNA", at positions 524 to 768 of the family's 1533-position model. Lineage: Bacteria; Bacillati; Bacillota; Clostridia; Eubacteriales; Oscillospiraceae. The record is from RNAcentral.